UAUAUUCUAAAAUUAAAAAUAUGUAAUUUAUCAUUUUGUUUUCGUAAUGUAUUUUCCUGUUGGUAUACAAACCAAAAGACGCACAGGAGUAUUUUACCUACCCGCCUCUCAACACAGGCCACCCCGCCUCCGCUCUCCUCCACCGUCGCGCCGCCCGUGCUUCUCCUCUCCUCCGUCGGCCCGCAUCCCCAUCGCGCCGCCGCCUCCUCUCUCUUGCUCUCUCUCCGCGCGAGCUCGCCACCGGCCGCCGUGGCGCCUGCAGGUCGCUGCGCCGUCGACCAUGCUUCCUCGCGCCCCCGCCUCCCCCCCUCUUGCUCUCUCCACGCGACCUCAUCACUGGCCGCCGUGGCCCUGCAGGUCGCCGCACCGUCAACCUCCCUUCCUUGCGCCACCCUCCUCCCCGCCUCAGAUUUGCGGCGGCAGGAUGCGGGCUUGGCGGCGGCGGCAGGCUUCGAUUUGCUUCGUCUGCUUUGAUCUGGUACCUCCAAAUGUCAGGAAUAAACUAUAAAGAACAACUAAAAAGUGCGAGGACUACUCUAUUUUUUUGUUUCGAACCAAAUGGAAUGUUGAUUUCGAUGCAUGCAAGUUGCAGAUUGCUAGUCUCAGGACUACUCUAUUUAGUGCAUAUGGAACGUUGAUUUCGAUGCAUGUGGAAUGUUCAAAUGUGGACUUAGAUGCUCACGCCACUGUUCACUGGAAUGUAUCUAUUCCUUCAUAAGGGAUUCUUCUGUCGUGAGACAUUAUGUUUGAAUCUACUGGCUGCUGGCAGAAAGAUCCAAACAACCGUUUAUGGUUUUGACAUUAUGGUAAACAUUACUCUAGCAGUAGUAGUUUGUACUUUCACCUUUUUUAUUAGGCUUGACAAAUUCUUUAUUUGUGCACCGACAAAAGCAUGCUGGUUUAUGUGCAGCUUGCCAUAGCUGUUUCUAUCCGUGAACAUCUUUAUGAGGUUAGAUAUACUGUCCCCUGCUAUUUGUUGUUUACAAAUUAAUGAAAAUUGCUUUGAUGUUUUUUUAUGAGUAAGGGCAUGCAAGUUUUUGUCUGUCAUUUAUAAGGUCGUUUGUUGGCCAACAUAUGAAUUUUGCAGAUUGCUAGUCGAAGUGUUUCUACUAUGAGAGAAUCUAAAGUUUCAAAGAAAAGGCGAGCACCAGAAUUUGCUUCAAAUAGUAAAGCCAUGAAUAAUGCAGUGGACAUGUUCAAGUAUUUCGGCAGCAAAUGAAGUCUCAUCCAGGACUAAGGCAGGGAUUUGUUGCAACUCAAGUGUUGGUUUUACUGAAUUGCUACCACAACGCUGAUAAGGUUUCUAGUCCAUGGCUCCAUGCAAGUUAUGAAAACUACAUAGUAAGGCCAAGUUGUCAAAGCUUCCUAGCUGAUUUAUUAGUUUCUUCUUUCAAGUUUAAAUACAUAUAGGUUGUCUUGAUCCUUCGACUUCCUGUACUGAGUGCUUAUGUACUGUACCGCUUCGAUGGCAUGAAAAAUAUUAGCCUUGAGCUUGAGCUUAUGUAUUGUGCUGGUUCGAUGUACAUGAAAAAUAUUAGCCAUGUGUAACCAUAGUUCUUUUUGUUUUGAUGUAAAUAUGGGCUGAAUUUGUA
Long non-coding RNA from Brachypodium distachyon (stiff brome), 1592 nucleotides. RefSeq lists it as uncharacterized. The record is from RefSeq and is a predicted model, not a curated record. The transcript is spliced from 3 exons. NCBI's taxonomy places the organism in Eukaryota, Viridiplantae, Streptophyta, Magnoliopsida, Poales, Poaceae.